CAGAGGAAGAGUGCUGCUGCCGUGUUGGCUGUGGAUCCUCAUUACUCUCACAAGCAGUGCUUAACUUUGUGAUGGGAAAUGGAAUGGAGGAAGUUGAGGCUCAGCUACGCAGUGUCCUUCAUGCUUGGUGUUCUUCAUGUUCCCUCUUCGGAUGGUAGCUGGGGCUGAAUCAUCUGCAGGCUUGACUGGGCUGGAUUGUUCCAGAAUAAUCUGGAAGA
Long non-coding RNA from Canis lupus familiaris (dog), 218 nucleotides. RefSeq lists it as uncharacterized. The record is from RefSeq and is a predicted model, not a curated record. The transcript has 3 exons. NCBI's taxonomy places the organism in Eukaryota, Metazoa, Chordata, Mammalia, Carnivora, Canidae.